GCCUCCUUAGCACAAUUGGUAGUUGCACUUCACUUGUAAUGAAGAUGUUGUCAGUUCGAGUCUGACAGGAGGCU
Molecule: transfer RNA, 74 nt
Filed under: Caudoviricetes sp.
Lineage: Duplodnaviria; Heunggongvirae; Uroviricota; Caudoviricetes
Description: tRNA-Thr
Rfam family: tRNA
About the family: Transfer RNA (tRNA) molecules are approximately 80 nucleotides in length. Their secondary structure includes four short double-helical elements and three loops (D, anti-codon, and T loops).
Source: RNAcentral